UUGUUCUUGCAGAUCAUGGCUUCAACAUUAAAGAAAUUACAGCUGUUAAAGGUGCCAACACUGUGAUUUCAGUAUUUACAAAGGGCAAAAAGCAGUUGAGCUCCUAUAAAGUACAAACAAUAAGAAAGAUUGCAAAUGUACGGAUCCAUGUGGAAAGAAUGAUUAGCAAUGCCAGACAGAAAUACCAGUUUCUUAGUAGCACCCUUCCCUAUAGACUAUUUGAUAACGAAUCAAAAGAAGAAAAACCCCUUUUAGAUAAAGUUGUUACAGUUGUUCGUUCCUUGAUAAAUCUUUGUCCUUCUGUUCCUUGAUAAAUCCUUCUGUAGUACCAUUUGAUUAGAAAUAAAUUGUAAAGCAUGAUAAUUACUGUUCUGCUGGUCUGUCAAUACUAUAUAGACAGAGCUGUCCAAGCUUGAAAAAAAUAAUAGGAUGGUUCUAAGUCGCAACUCUGAGUUUCAAGCUUCAUAUAUUGGGCAAGGUUUAUCAGGCAAUAUAUUGGAACUAGAGUUAAAUAUUAAAGAGAUUUCAUAAGAACCAAAUGCUUAACAAAAAUGAGACAUUAUUGGAGGAAAUGCUUUGAUUCUGUAUUAAAAAUCUACAUUUGGUUGGAGAACUAAGAUCAUAUGAAAAUGCAAAUAAGUUAAAAGUGCAUCAAUUGUAGCCAUAUUCAUUGGUAAAUUGGCUUGGGGCAGUAUUUCAAAAUAUGUCAUUCAUUAGAAGAGAAAAGGUGCUACUUUUGGUAAGGGUCACGUGUGGAAAAAUAUAAAGUUUCCUCUAAUAUACUUGUGGUCUACAAAGCUAGAUUAUUCACAUUAAUUACAUGUAAUAAUGAUCUGAACUGAGAAUGGUAGUUCUCCUUUUCUCAAAUGAUCUGCUAAAGUAAUUUCCAAUCAACUCUGGCAAUACAAUGUUCGUAAAAAAUAGUUCACAUUUGGCUACAAUAUUUGAGAAGCAAUGUUCAUAAUAUCUGAUUCUUUCAAUAAGUAUGUCUUUGGUUGUCCAUACCACAAAGUCACAAUAUUUUCUUUUUGUCAGGCCCAUUUGCAUUUGAACCUGAUGAUAAUAGGCAUGGCUUCUUCGCAGUUGAAGUUUGCCAUCAAAUGACUCCAGAAGUUUAGUAAUAGCGGUUUUGUAAUGCAGUCAUUUAGAACAAUGUCCCGGAAUGUAAAUGGAAACUUUAUUUCAACACAACCAAGGCCAUGUACUGUUGACUCUACUAGGGCAUCUGGUGUAGCUCGAAGAAAUGGGUAACUGAUACUCAAAAAGAGACCACAUUUUUUUAUAUCAAUGCCUUCUGUCUGUGACAACAUAAUGGACUUAUAAGCUUCCAGAGCAUCUUCUUCAUGGUCAGUGCCCCACCUUGUUGCAGAGGUGCUGAAUUUGCAUUCCUCUGGGUGACAAAUCUUUUUUAAUAAUGACAUAGGUGGCUUUUCUAGUGAAGCAUUCACAACCUCUUUUGCUAUUGAUGCUGCUAUAAAACCAGCGUGCAACUGAAACCACAAGUUAGACUUUGCUUGCCCCGUGUGUCUUUUUCAGCCUUGUUAAUUUGGUUUUCACUAGGCAAGAGACUUUUCAGUACAGUUGCAGACUGCUUUAAAAGCUUAUCAUAAGAUAGGUUGGAUGCACUCCCAUGAUAGGUUGGAUGAUCAUCAAACAAUCUGACAUCAACCUAGGGUAGUCCUUGCUGAGGCAUUUUGGGAUAAACCCUUCAAAAUAAUCAGGAUGUACUGACAAAAAUUCAGGCUUUGCUUUGCAGGCAGCGAAUGCACCUAAAAAGUUUUUGAUAUCUCUGGUGCUAGGGGGCUCAAUGGAGUUUCCCUUUGAUUUCACAUAAAAGCUUUUCUUUGUAUUGCUCGAUACGAUAUAUCAUCAGAGUCUUUUUUCUUUUUCUUUGAAGAAUGGAAGUCAAUAUCGGAAAUUGGCUUAUAUUCCACAGCUUUCUUUGAUGCAGGUAGUUUCCAGUAUGCUGGCUUUCCGGUCACUGUUGUUGUUUCCCGUAUUCGUGUACUUCAAUGAAAAAGAGAAGAGAAGCAACAUGAGAGCAACUUUCUCCAAUUCCUGCCGUACAGUUACAGUGAGCAGAGUAAAUUUUACUGUUGCCCAAAACCAUUAUCCAGCAUUUAAGUGGAGCCUCGCUGAGUCUUUGAGAUUUGAGAAUGGUUCACCUUAAAAGUAAAAAGUGUGUAUUGAUCAAAAUAAAAUAGCAAAAUUGCCUCAUCAAAAACUGAAAGAAAUCUUUCAAGUUAGUGAGGCCAGGCUCAAAAUCAAAGUCAAUUACAAUAACAAAAAACCAGGAAGUUUUAAAGCUUUAAAGUUAUAAAAUUAAGAGCAGAAAUUACAACACACAGUUAAGAGAAACUUUAACAUAGUUUAUGAUUUCCGAACCCAAUUUGAAUGGCACCGUGGUAUUGAAAUUUAACUUAACGUUAAUGACUUAACAUUAGGUUGGUCUUUACCUUUUUCACGAACAACGAAGACUUUUUGCUCUCCAGUACUACCCUCCACCAGUUUUACCAUCGUUUUAAUGUCACAUACCCAUCCGCUCAUGAAGAAAUCAUAACAUUCAAGGCUUUUAUAAUUUUUCAUUUCUUCCAUCGAAAAUAUUGGGCUUGGACCAAAUAAUUGACGAUGUCAAAGUAGGAGACAUUAGGUAACGCGUCUAGUUCUUUGGUCCAUUCGCUGAUACAAUCAGAAUAUCAUCACUUCAGACGGUCAGCUAUUCUAAACACAAGUUUAAAGUACAGAAGAAUCGACCACAGCGAUGUGUUUACUUCCUACCUCCAGUGUACCACCAACAUGGCCGCCAUGAGCGUGGAAUGCAUUCUAGGAUAGAAUCUCAAAACAGUCUAUAGGAAAACAGAGUCGUUUUUACAGAACUCUUUGAUACAACAAUACAUGUCUUUGGAUACAAUACAAUAAAUGAUCUUGCAAUAUAUUUUUGAAGGUAAUAAAAGUUUUUGAAAAGCUUCCUAUUCACCAAAUAUAAACGUUUGACGUUUUCACUCUUAUUUACAAAACCCAUAAAGACAAUAUGAUCUUAAUAAACUGAAUAUUCCAUGGCAGCACGCUUUUCAGUUACAAUCUAAUGCAACUCUAUUUCUCUUACUUCUUACUUCAAUGUUGUUUAGAAGCAGAUUUUACUUUUAAUCAGAUGCAUCGAAUCAGAUGCAUCGAAUCAGAUGCAGAUGAUCGUUUCAGAAUGGUGUACACUCAUGUACACCAUUCUAUAACUAACAGGAACAAACUGAAUAAUAAUUGCUAGCCAGUUUUUCAAUUCUCAUUCUGUCUUCUCUCUCCAGGCAGUAGUGUCUACCUGUCAUUGUUAAUAGUUUUGGUGGUUUCACCUAAGCAGGCGCAAUUGAAUCAGGGACCCAGCCUGAAUUGUUGGUUCACAAACUUAGCCUUUACAUCUUCCAUCUCCAGAAUAAUGUCUCAUACAAAGGCUUUUCAUCAUGGAGACCCACUAAAAACUUGCUAAUGUUUCCUUUUAAUGGUGGCACUUAUUUCCAGAAAAGCUACACCGCAAAACAUUCUCUGAAUCCUCAAAAACUGGCUUGGCAGCUAUUGUGUUUGUAUCCAAUGACAGAAACUGUUGGGAGCCACAUGUUACUGGUACCGUCUUUGCAUCAUUGAAGCGCUCUGCAAGAUGUCUCUUCUCAAGCUCAAACUCUUCUUGAGGAAUAUAUUGAAAUUAGAUCCCCUUUAUUUCGUUCUGGCAAAUUUUAAAGAUUUCUGAUGCCGAUAAUAUAAGUUUAUUUGUUAUUCUUUGUAGACUAGCCAUUGCAGCACGCUUCUUAACAAUAACCCAAUCCCAUCACUAGUUUCAAAGAAAUCCCAUUCAAAAGCAACUGAAAAUUCAGCUUGAUGGUUCAGGAACUGACAGAUUUCAUCCGACAUUCCCCUAAAAGGUUGGCUUGGUUUUCUCAUUUCAAGGACCAGCAUGAAGAACACCAAUCAAAGUCUUUGAGACCAUUUUGCCCCACUCGUUGGACAAUCCGAUUGGUAUCUAUACAAGCAAUUAGCAGUAACUAAACUGAUAUUUUGAGAUGGCUUGAAGAAGUUAAUUUGAAAGAGAAGAACGCAAAUGGUGUAAAAGCUGGUGGCUUUUUGAAGUCUCUUCCCAAAUUUAACAGCUUCUUCUUGCUAGAGAUUUUGAAGAUGGUACUUACCAUUGUUGAAGGGGGCAGUUCAACGUUGCAGGGAAUUCAGCUUUCCUUCAGCAAAUCAGAAAAAACAAUUACUUGUAUCAGAAAGUCAGUAUCAAAUGCAAGAGCUGAUGCCCCUUUUUUCGCAUUUGGCAGUCAAUAUUAGAUGCUGUUGCUAGAAAUGGAUCAAUAAAGGAGCCAAAAUUAACGAGACAGCAUAAGGUUCCAAGACGCAUUGAUGAGGGUACAGAAGCUUGGUUUUUUUCCAGUCACUGCGCAAGACCUUUACAGGCAAAUGUAUUUUACUAUUUUGGAUAGUGUGCUUGUUUGGCUGACCGACCGAUUUGAGCCUGAUGAAACAUCAGCACAACUGAAGAGAGUUGAGCAGUUUUUUUAUUGGAGAAGAAAAAUCGGUGGAUUACAUUCAACAACACUUUGGUAAAGAUGUAGAUGGCCACAGAUUGCUGCUACACAGAGAUAUGCUAAUUGCCAGGCCAGAUGUCAAGAGGUACAUUUGGAAGACAUUCAAUGUGUUGUUGAUUUUUUAAUCAAAGAUGAAGUGUUUCGAUCAAUGGUCAAAGAGGUCAUAAGUUGGUAAGGAUGAUACUGACCUUGCCUGUCUCAAGUUGCACAGCUGAAAGAUCUUUUUCGGGUCUAGGGCGCCUGAAAACGUACCUACCAUCGCAAAUGUCUCAAGAACGAUUAAAUGCUGUUGCAAUAAUGAACAAACAUAAAGAAGUGGUCAUGAGACUGUCAACUGAUGAACUUGUGGAAACCUUCAUACCAAGAAAUGUCGUGAGAAAGAGUACAUUUUGGGUGCCUAAAUAGAACUGAUGAUCUCAACCUAAAGAAACUGAUUAUGAUUUAAAAAUAAACUUUCAAUCAUUUCCUUUGUGUGUUUCUUCUUCCUCGAUAAUGAAAAAUGCACGGAAAAAUCACCUUUAAGCCCUUAGCUAAUCCACUUUCUAUCCUGUGACAUCAGCAGCUGCCAUUAGAAAUUUUCAUUAAUUUUUUGAGCCCCCCCCCCCUGAAAAAAUUGCAAGUCUACGCCUAUGCUGGGGAAUAGGAGCAUUUUCAAUGCACUCAGAAUUUUUAACUGUUUAGAGCGUACAGGAGGAUGGGUGUGGCACCAUAAGCAUCACCAGAGCUAAGUUUAUGCGUUCUAUAGAUGUAUAUGUGGUAAUCCAUAAAUCCUUUUAUACAAUAUUUACUCUCUUUCUUAACUGAGCAAAGUCAGUGAAUUUUGUAUAGCUGAUUAACUAUGUUGUAAUAAGCUUGGACCUAAUUUGCUAACAAAAUUGGAAUCAAAUUUCUUUAUACCUGCAGGGUAGGCAUUAAUACUCUUCCAAAUGGUUGUUUUGUCUUGCACAUAGGUCCCUGCUAGGCCAUUAAUUAUAAUUUGCUAAUUAUCAUGCUUAUUACUGUGGUGGAAUGGAACAGCAAUGCCCUAGCCUUCCCAUACUUACAGACCUUGGCAGCUUGUGGGUUUUGCCACCUGUAUGCAUUUUUUUUCUUUUUAGGGCUACUAGUCAAAGCUAGUACAGUUACAAUAUUUACAGUUGCAUAAUUUGCAUAUUAUUCUGUGACAGUUCUUAAUGUUCAAAGCCUCUACCAUCUAACGUUUCCUGUCUCAAUUUCAAGUUCCUGUUGAUGGGCCUCUAGCCCUAGUCAGGCUUCAGACAGAGCUAAAUGUUCAACACUGGUUGAUGCUUCAAAAUGUGCGAGAUGUACCCUUAUCUUUUGUUGUUGGCAAGCUGCUGGUGACAUUAUUAGAAAUGGUUUUUAUUAGAAUUUGGCACUCACUGUCAAAAUUUUUUUUUUUAAAUAUAUCUAAGGAUUUUUUGCACUUGGAUUGCCAAGAUCUUGCAAUUUAAAGAAACUUUCAACAACUGAACGAGCACAAGGUCAGCUUGGAUGCCUGGUGCUGUUGGACUUGCUCUCCACCUAUUUAUUCCAACACUGAAAAAAGGCCUGGGCUAUUGAUGUGGGGGUGUUUCUUUCCAAGUAACCCAAUCAAGCUAAGGAGAUGUAAGCUCACUUUAUUGUCAUUCCUUGUUUACAUAUUACCCACACUAACACUUGUUUUACAACAAAGAAACAAUUUUUUUAAAACGAGACUAAAUUCCCAUUUGUGACGUAACUAUGACGUCACGGCCAUGCCCAAAUCCAAAGCCUAGUACAUCAAACUGACCACCGUGACACGCCCUUUCAAAUGAGCUAUUGCAAGCCGAGGUACCAUACAUAUCGCCAGAGAUAUGGGCAAAAACGUCAAAAAAUGGCACAUUUUCAACUUUGUGCCAAAAUGGCACCUUAUUUUAAACUUUUUUUGGAACAUCCAUAACAUCAAUCGAUGCACCUUGACGAGUACUUUCGAUUUAUGUGGGUAUGUGGUAAACGCGUCUGUGAAAAAAGUUAUUUGCAAAAAACUGAGAAUUGGAGGCUUUCGGAACUUUUGGCACAUUUUUGUGCAAAAGAGAGGUGACAAUCCAAUUCCGACCAAAGACCCUUAUUGCCAAGUGGAUGAAAAAUUAUCUGGCACAUUGGAUUUUCUUAAUGAUGGAAUUGCUUUGUUUAAAAAACGAUGGAAGGCCAUGCCCUAAAGUUUCUCUAAAAAACCGUUCAUCAGAUGCUGUUUAUGAGGCUUUCUCUUGGAUAUGUGGAGACGAAAAGAAAAGUACCUAUUUUUGCUGGCCGUGCUUGGUGAUGGGAGAUCUUUCUAAAGUAAGAUUUUAGAACAUUCUAUAUUUUAGUUAAUUUUAGUUUUAUAUUUAGUUUUAUUUUAUUCUCGAGCUUUUACUCUAGAUUCAUCGUAAAGUUAAUUUUGCACUUAGGUUGAGUAGAAUUAAUUGAUGCUUGGGUUUAUUAAAUUCAGAAUGUGUAAUUAUCAGAAAUUUAUGUCCUUAAAAUGCAAGUUUUCAACGUUCUUUGCUUGCUGAUAUGAUUUUGCUAUUAAAAGAUGGCCGUUAAUAGCAACAAACAGUGAGGCUACAGCUACGGGCAUAGGGCCUUUCACUGUAAGCUGAUGGUCUUUCUCUGCCAGCCGAAGGCCGUUGAAACCAAAGCCUACAGUCGUAAUUGAAAGACUUGUCGUAGAGGCAUCGCUUCAGAACUCUUGGGUUGGUAGACAUUCUGAUAUUUUCAAGAAAGUUUAUUUAAGUCAAAAUUUAUCUGAAACAAAUAAAUUUCUGAUUUUAUUUAAUUUUGUUUUAUAUGAUUUUAUUUGAAACGAAGAAAAUUGUUGAGAAUUUCACCAAUUUGUCCACCUUUCAGAUGAAGAAAGUUCCAUUUGUUCAAGAAAAUGGGUUUCAGUCAUUUGGAUCUAACCUCUGGAAUAUUGCUGUAUGACAUCAAAAUUUGAAAGCGCAUAUCUCGACGGCAAAGAAAAAUUGCUCAACAUAAUAAUAAUGCCUCACGCUACGCUUGAAUGCUGGAAAACCACAUCAAUGUGAAAUGGUUUUUAACAGCCCAAGGACUUGCGUUUACAGCACAUGACGAAUCUGCAACGUCAUCAAAUAGAGGAAAUUUCAUUGAACUAUUAGAUCUUAUUGACAAUUACAGCCAGGACCUGCGGGAUUUUCUAACAAAACAACACGUAACGUACAUGUCUCAUGGGCCUCAAAAUGAUCUUAUUGGGUGUAUGUGUAAGAGAUGAGAUUCAACAGAGGAUUGAUAACUCAAGGUUCCUUGCGGUCAUGAUGGAUGAUACGAGUGAUUCAAGCAACAUUGAGCAGUCAGCGGUUUCAGUCAGGCUCCUUUAUGAUGGAAAUGUGGAAGAACACUUGUUAGGGCUUGUAGAUUCUUCUGGCAAUCAGUCAGCAGAUCCGUUAACAAACAUUCUUUUAGACACACUGAAAAGUUUCAAGUUACUCCAGAGAACCGUGCGGAGAAACUUAUCGGGCAGUCCUAUGACAGGGCGCCAGCGAUGAGUGGUGAACUGAGGGGGGUGCAAAAGCAAGUAGAAGAUAAAUUUCCCUUUGCAUUUUAUAAUCACUGUGUUGCAUAUAGACUCAGAUUGCGCUUCUCAGAGUUCAAAUAGAAUUCAAAGAAUUGCCAAAUUUUUCCAUGUGGAUAAAUUGAUAUCAUUUUUUCGGACCAGCCCAAAACGUACCCACCUUCUUGGAAGAUGAAACAUUUUGGAAUAAAAUUUGUCGACUAAGAUACAACUGUAGAUCAAGUGGGUGAGGCAUUUAAUGCAGAAAAAGAUGGUCCAGACCAGUUAUUAGGCUACUGUGCUAUGCCCAAGAGAAUCAGAGAGCAGUAUGGCCUUCAUGAUCCCAGAGGACUCGUUCACGAUGUAAUGACCCUUGGUGACAAUGAAAGACUUUAAGGAUGAGAAGAGAAAAGAAGGGGUAGAGUUGGAACAUUCACGUCAUUGGUGCGAGGUUAACUUGUUAUUGAAUUCAUAGGGCUGGCAAAAUAGAAGACCAUGUCCUCAUUUUUUACAAAGCUCUAAAGAACUUUUCAGUUAAAAAUAAAAAAUAUGAGUAUACACUCUUUUUUAUAAGAAAUUAGGAUAUUUUUCACUACUAAAAGUUUCUUUCUUUUUGGCUAAUUAGGGGUAGAGUUUGGAAAUUAAGUAGUUUGGGAGGGAAGGCAAUUAGAUCAACUAUUUUUGGAUCUGAAUAGGUACCCAGUACCCUUACUACCCAAGCUUAACCCUUGCCCUAAUCCUACCCCACAGCCUGCACCUAACCGAACCCACCCCGAGUGCACUUCCUGCAUCUAGGUGCAGAGGUCUUCUGGUGCAAUGUCUGGCGUAGACUUUAGAUAGAAUGCAUCCUGGCAGAAAUUAUGGAGGGCUUGGCGGGCUGAAGCCCCCUAAAUUAAAACCUGAAUUUUAGUUUCAACUCUAACACCCUUACUUAAUCUAUAAAGCCCUGACAGUGAACCCAAUCCAAGUAAAGUGAAGAAGCUUGAACCGCAAACCUCAAACUAAUUGAUAUUAAAUUUAUUAAAAAAAAGAAGAAAAAAAUUCCUAUCUUUCCAAUGUGGUAUCUGUUGAAUAUUUGUGCACAAGGAACCUUUGUUCGAGACAAGCACGUCACACGUACUGACAGGGAGGCCAAAAUGAGCAGCACAAGCACCCUUCAAGUUAGGUAGAGUUAUUUCAUCAAACUCAAAUGAUACAAAUUCGCGUGUCUGAAUCGGACGAUAGGUUUGCUUGCUGUCGGGUUUGAAGAAAGCUUCUGGACGACAAUCCCGUGUGGGGCAGAUCCGAGUUUUUUAUUUUUAAUUGAUGCCUUGUUUUGUUUUGUUCUUUUGUUACUCAUAACCUUAAAAAGUUUUUCCCAAGUAUCUUGCCUCUUCAUGAUUAAUUCAAAUUAAAUAGGCUACCAUGAGGUUUGCUGUUAAGUGGCAAGGCGAAGCAAAAAGGGCGCGAAAAGCUGUAUGGAAAGGAGGCGCUUAUUCUUGCAAAGCAUUGCGGUCUAUGAGAACGCUGGGCCGAUCGUGACAUUUCAUUUUGAAAAUGAAAACGAAAAUGUUUCUUUUGACAACUUUCAAUGUGAUUUUCAGAAACAAAAAGAAAAUAUUCUUUUUGAAACUUGGAAAUGGAAAUGUUUCUUUAUUUUUUUAUUAUGUUUAUUCUGCUUUUUGACAUAAUAGUUUGAAUUGAAUGUCAAAUUUACCACAAAUAUCUGUAAUUUUUUUAUAUUUUAUAAAAUAUGUUUCUGUUUUUGGAAUGAGAAUGCUGGGCCACCAUAGAUAUUUACGGUUUUCUCCCGGGUUCAUUCAAAAUCCUCUCAAUCACGAUUAGUGCUCUCCGCAGUCUUUGUCCCGCCUUUCUAAAGGUUCUUUCUCUCUCUUUUCUCUUGCUCUCUACAAAAGGUUUCAAAACUUCUUCCUCCAGCAAUCCUUCAAUUUGAACGGAGGCUUUUAAAAUUCGUUUCGCUUUUCACAAAGAGAUUCAUUGGAUUUUUAGUUAGAGGAGAGGAUAGCUAAUAAUAAAUCUACAGUCACUGCUGCUUGGCAUUCCUUUUCGAACUCGAAGCGGUCCUCGACGGUCGUAUUCUGUGCUACAGCUUCAGCUACAACUACAGUAGUGAGUCUCCUUGGCUUUUUUUAUCAACUGAUUUUUUAUUGAUCGGAGAUUGAGCCCCGUUUCUUAUUUCGUUUGCAAGAGCCAUGUAAUUCAUGCUUUUGACGAUCUUCUUUUUCGUUUUAGUAGCUACGUACGGUACAUGCGCUGCUGCCCGUUUUUUGGUUCUCCGAUGGCUGCUGGCUGUUCCCGUUCUUCACUGGCAUCAGAAUCGAUGGCAUGCGAAUACAAAUGAGCGAUAGGAUUUGCUGACUUUUUGGAACAACAAAUCAAAGAGCGUUUCAAGCAUAAUUAUGACGCAGACGUGAUUCUUGGCAUUUAUGCUGGAAAUUUAUGGCAUUUAUGCUGGCGUUAAAUCGAACAAAGAAGCAAGAAAAAACCAUGACUGUGGAGAAAAUUACUAAAUCUAUGAAGAUUAGCUGUUGUCCAUGAAUUGUAUUUUGUUAAUUUGUUGUUUGAGUAAGAAUCCUUUCUGAUGCACGAACCCCAUCUUUCUUUUUAGGCUCCCCCCUUCCUAGUGAUCGUCACAAAAGUGCGAAUUUAAUUCGCACAGGAGUGCAAGCAAUUUUUUUAUCACGUGACCUCUCCUCAUUUUGAAAUCGAGGUUUAUGGCACUCUUGUCUUUCCAAGGCUAAUCUUAAUAUUGAACCAUAGGGCCACUGGCAAGCCUGCGUAGCGGGCUUCGUAGGGGAGCUAUAACAUAAUAAUAACAGUAAGUGAAGUUUACAAAUUCUAAAACGUUACACAUGUCCCUGUCAAAAUUCUUGCAUUGAUGUCAAUGACUAUGAACUACUGUGUAACAAACAGGUUCUCUGCCACAUAAUUUUAGGGAGACCUCAUUUACAACAUAUUAAACAAGAAUUCAAAAGAAUAAAUACUCUGUCUAGAACACAAUUUUUACGCUCUCAUUUUACCAUGUUUACCACAAUCCAUCAUCUCCCAAUUUCUCCUUUAAAAAUCUUUCUUUACAAACGAUAGAUAAUCAUAACCAACAAAUAAAGAACAAAUCCUUGCAACCACAUUAAACGCCCCUGGGAACAUUCACACACAAUACAACUAUAGAACAGAACAAAUGCACGAUUAUAACACUUGAACACCACUGAACAAACAAUGAUAACCAUACUCAGUGGCGGCUGGUGGGACUUUUUGCUGGGGGGGGGGCAAAAUGUCAGGUGUUGGGUGUUGCCAAAUACAAAUUUAAGAGCCAUGCUCCUGAUUCCCGGAAGAUAAGUAACAUGAGAAAAAGUCAUUACUUUUGUUAUGCAAUGCUCAAAGAUCUAAAAGUUAGUUAAAAAUUUAAAUCUAAAUCUACCAAGAAGUAUUUAAUUUGCACAGAGACUUGUUAUAAAUGUGUUCAAAAUUGCUUAGUUUUACAUAUUUCACCUUGGAUGCCACAGUUUCAAAAAAAGAAAUUAUGUUAUUCAAACAGCUUUGUAACUAAAAUUUCUUUUUGUCAUUUUUUAAUACAAUUUCCAUAAAAUGUUCUAAGAAUUUUAAUUGAUGGCAAUCAUGGCACAUUACUAAAGUCUACUUUGCUCAUUUCAUUUCUAAAACAUCAUAAUUUUACUUCAAUCAACUGUGAUGCUUACCAUUUAAAACUA
Molecule: non-coding RNA, 11783 nt
Organism: Rhopilema esculentum
Lineage: Eukaryota; Metazoa; Cnidaria; Scyphozoa; Rhizostomeae; Rhizostomatidae
Source: RefSeq, a predicted model, not a curated record